UCCAUGGAAUGAACUUCCCAGAGUUGUGCAU
RNAcentral lists this non-coding RNA (31 nucleotides) under Rattus norvegicus (Norway rat). The record is from RNAcentral. Lineage: Eukaryota; Metazoa; Chordata; Mammalia; Rodentia; Muridae.